RNAcentral lists this transfer RNA (69 nucleotides) under Cordylochernes scorpioides. RNAcentral describes it as "tRNA-Gly". It matches the Rfam family "tRNA". Rfam says of the family: Transfer RNA (tRNA) molecules are approximately 80 nucleotides in length. Lineage: Eukaryota; Metazoa; Arthropoda; Arachnida; Pseudoscorpiones; Chernetidae. The record is from RNAcentral.
GCAUCGGUGGCUUAGUGGUAGAAUGCUCGCCUGCCACGCGAGGCCCGGGUUCGAUUCCCGGCCGAUGCA